ACGUCCUACGGGUAGGCAGCAGUCGGGGAAUAUUUGCACAAUGGGCGCAAGCCUGAUGCAGCCAUGCCGCGUGUGUGAAGAAGGCCUUCGGGUUGUAAAGCACUUUCAGUCGUGAGGAAGGUAGUGUAGUUAAUAGCUCGAUUAUUUGACGUUAGCGACAGAAGAAGCACCGGCUAACUCCGUGCCAGCAGCCGCGGUAAUACGGAGGGUGCGAGCGUUAAUCGGAAUUACUGGGCGUAAAGCGCAUGCAGGUGGUUUGUUAAGUCAGAUGUGAAAGCCCGGGGCUCAACCUCGGAAUUGCAUUUGAAACUGGCAGACUAGAGUACUGUAGAGGGGGUAGAAUUCAGGUGUAGCGGUGAAAUGCGUAGAGAUCUGAAGGAAUACCGGUGGCGAAGGCGGCCCCCUGGACAGAUACUGACACUCAGAUGCGAAAGCGUGGGGAGCAAAACAGGAUUAGAUACCCUGGUAGCUACGAGU
Molecule: ribosomal RNA, 477 nt
Filed under: uncultured bacterium
Lineage: Bacteria
Description: bacterial SSU rRNA
Rfam family: Bacterial small subunit ribosomal RNA
Source: RNAcentral